Molecule: ribosomal RNA, 255 nt
Filed under: uncultured bacterium
Lineage: Bacteria
Description: partial 16S ribosomal RNA
Rfam family: Bacterial small subunit ribosomal RNA
Source: RNAcentral
UACGUAGGGUGCAAGCGUUUGUCCGGAAUUAUUGGGCGUAAAGAGCUCGUAGGCGGUCUGUCGCGUCGGCUGUGAAAACCCGGGGCUCAACCCCGGGCCUGCAGUCGAUACGGGCAGACUAGAGUGCGGUAGGGGAGACUGGAUUCCUGGUGUAGCGGUGAAAUGCGCAGAUAUCAGGAGGAACACCGGUGGCGAAGGCGGGUCUCUGGGCCGAUAUUGACGCUGAGGAGCGAAAAGCGUGGGGGAGCGAACAGG